CCUACGGGGGGCAGCAGUGGGGAAUAUUGGACAAUGGGGGGAACCCUGAUCCAGCCAUGCCGCGUGUGUGAAGAAGGCCCUCGGGUUGUAAAGCACUUUCAGUGAGGAAGAACGCCUGGUGGUUAAUACCCAUCAGGAAAGACAUCACUCACAGAAGAAGCACCGGCUAACUCCGUGCCAGCAGCCGCGGUAAUACGGAGGGUGCGAGCGUUAAUCGGAAUUACUGGGCGUAAAGCGCGCGUAGGUGGCUUGAUAAGCCGGUUGUGAAAGCCCCGGGCUCAACCUGGGUACGGCAUCCGGACUGUUAAACUAAGGGUGCAGGAGAGAAGGUAGAAAUCCCCGGUGUGGGGUGAAAAUGGGUGGAGACCGGAGGAAUACCAGUGGCGAAGGCGGCCUUCUGGACUGACACUGACACUGAGGUGCGAAAGCGUGGGUAGCAAACAGGAUUAGAUACCCCAGUAGUC
This 464-nucleotide ribosomal RNA is filed under the name Vreelandella stevensii. Its description in RNAcentral is "partial 16S ribosomal RNA". It matches the Rfam family "Bacterial small subunit ribosomal RNA", at positions 338 to 795 of the family's 1533-position model. Lineage: Bacteria; Pseudomonadati; Pseudomonadota; Gammaproteobacteria; Oceanospirillales; Halomonadaceae. The record is from RNAcentral.